GACGAACGCUGGCGGCGUGCUUAACACAUGCAAGUCGAACGGAAAGGCCCUGCUUUUGUGGGGUGCUCGAGUGGCGAACGGGUGAGUAACACGUGAGUAACCUGCCCUUGACUUUGGGAUAACUUCAGGAAACUGGGGCUAAUACCGGAUAGGAGCUCCUGCUGCAUGGUGGGGGUUGGAAAGUUUCGGCGGUUGGGGAUGGACUCGCGGCUUAUCAGCUUGUUGGUGGGGUAGUGGCUUACCAAGGCUUUGACGGGUAGCCGGCCUGAGAGGGUGACCGGCCACAAUGGGACUGAGGUACGGCCCAGACUCCUACGGGGGGGAACAGGGGGGAAUAUUGCACAAUGGGCCGAAGCCUGAAGGAGCAACGCCGGGUGCGGGAAGACGGGCUUCGGGGUGGAAACCGCUUUCGCCUGUGACGAAGCGGGAGUGACGGUAAUUGGUAAAGGAGCACCGGCUAACUACGUG
RNAcentral lists this ribosomal RNA (468 nucleotides) under uncultured bacterium. RNAcentral describes it as "partial 16S ribosomal RNA". It matches the Rfam family "Bacterial small subunit ribosomal RNA", at positions 28 to 507 of the family's 1533-position model. The record is from RNAcentral.